GAAAGCAUCGCUCACACGACAAGGGAAGGCUGUGAAUAAUGUAAUAGCUGUAAAUCGAUAUGGGCCAGAAACACUACGACAAAUCCACCUCAUCGCAGCUGAGUGACAUGCUGCACCACAGCAAUACAUUACCAGAGCUGAACACCUUGGAAUGCGAUGCCCUGAAUGUCCUGACCGAGAAGAAGGUGGAAAUACUCCAUUCGGUACUUCGAAGGUAAACGGUCUUUCAAUAAAUAAUUUACUGGGACUAAAGCUAGAGCUC
Nematostella vectensis (starlet sea anemone) is the source of this 262-nucleotide long non-coding RNA. RefSeq lists it as uncharacterized. The transcript is spliced from 2 exons. NCBI's taxonomy places the organism in Eukaryota, Metazoa, Cnidaria, Anthozoa, Actiniaria, Edwardsiidae. The record is from RefSeq and is a predicted model, not a curated record.